This 492-nucleotide ribosomal RNA is filed under the name uncultured bacterium. RNAcentral's name for it is "partial 16S ribosomal RNA". It matches the Rfam family "Bacterial small subunit ribosomal RNA", at positions 29 to 507 of the family's 1533-position model. The record is from RNAcentral.
AGUGAACGCUGGCGGUAGGCCUAACACAUGCAAGUCGAACGGCAGCACAGUAAGAGCUUGCUCUUACGGGUGGCGAGUGGCGGACGGGUGAGGAAUACAUCGGAAUCUACUUUUUCGUGGGGGAUAACGUAGGGAAACUUACGCUAAUACCGCAUACGACCUACGGGUGAAAGCAGGGGAUCAUCGGACCUUGCGCGAUUGAAUGAGCCGAUGUCGGAUUAGCUAGUUGGCGGGGUAAAGGCCCACCAAGGCGACGAUCCGUAGCUGGUCUGAGAGGAUGAUCAGCCACACUGGAACUGAGACACGGUCCAGACUCCUACGGGAGGCAGCAGUGGGGAAUAUUGGACAAUGGGCGCAAGCCUGAUCCAGCCAUACCGCGUGGGUGAAGAAGGCCUUCGGGUUGUAAAGCCCUUUUGUCGGGAAAGAAAAGCAGCAGGUUAAUACCCCGCUGUUCUGACGGUACCCAAAGAAUAAGCACCGGCUAACUUCGUG